UACCAGAGCCCUAAGAGGAGACAGACACUAAGGGAACACUGUACACAGAAGCAGUAGAAAUACUUUGUUGAUCUCUAUCAGGGAUCUGGCGGUUCUGUGAGUCAGACAGUGGGGGCAGCAGGCGGGGCAGGUCCCUAUAAAUGAAUCACUUUGUAACAACCCCCCCCAACUAUAUCUUAAUAAGAGGAGGAGGAGAGCAAUAGUGACAUGAACUUGGUUCCCAUUUAGGUGAAUGUGACAGAGCAGAGCUGGUUCCUGGCACUGAAUGAUAUCAGCAGGGAAUAAGCCCCCAGCGCCACAGCCAUUGGGUAUUUACCUACUUUAACCCAUAGUUUGCCUGGGUCCAUAGCAAGCCAGUGAAAUGCCUGGGAAAGCCCGGCACUAGGACCCUGCAGCUCCUGUCUCCCUGGGGGGCGGGGCCAGGGCAGCUGUUUGUGGGAGUCAGUGAAUUGACUUGUUUGCUUUAAGCCUCCCCUUGUGAAUCCCAGUGGCCCUGGGAGAUUCUCUACACACUGACCCCUUGAUUAGUUGGCUCCAAACUGAUUCCCCUGGGCAGGGGCACUAGGACCCUGGGAAGCUGAUCUGAGGAUUGUGAGAAGAACCUGCAGAUCCGGAAGUGAGGAGAAAGUGAUUGGAUGUGAAGUUGUUACUUUGCUGGAGGGACAGGGAUCAGACCCAGAGUACUGACCCAAUGGUACCGAGCAUAUUAUCUUGGAAAGAAGAUUUAGAGAAGCCCCAGAAGCCAACAAUUCUCUGAUUCUUUGCAUAAAGACAAGAGGCCAUUCGACUGUGCAACUUCUCCAACACCAGGAAAUCUGCACAGACUGAGAAAAAGCUUUAGUGCAAUGAGCAUUCCCAACUCCCAGAAGGAAUGUGGGCAAAGAAUUGCAAACAAAGGUGAUCUUCUUACUCACACAGGGGAGAAACCUUUCACAUGUACAGAAUGCGGGAAAAAAUUUGCGACAGAAAAUUGCCUCAAUACUCACUUGCGGAUUCACACAGGAGAAAAACCAUUCAAGUGUACAAAGUGUGGGAAACGCUUUAGGCUACAUCAUAUCCUUAAAAACCACAUGAAAAUACACACAGGAGUGAAACCAUAUAAGUGCACAGAAUGUGGACAAUGCUUUAAUGCGCUCAGCACCCUUAGAGUUCACCAAAGACUUCACACGGGGGAGAGGCCUUUCACGUGUAUGGAAUGUGGGAAAAGUUUCACUCGAAAGUCAAUCCUUAAAGGUCACCAGAGAGUUCACACGGGGGAGAAACCAUAUGUGUGCACAGAAUGUGGGCGCAGUUUCAGGUUCAAGGUGGCUCUUAGAGACCACGAGAGAGUUCACACAAAGGAAGAACCGUAUGCAUGUAGCGAAUGUGGGAAAACAUUUAGGCGGCGCUCUCAACUACUCAGCCACCAGAAUAUUCACAUACGAAUAGAUCUGUUUCCAUGUAUAGAAUGUGGGAAAAGUUUCUCCCAUGACUGCCACCUUCAGAACCACCUUAAACUUCACAGAGAGACUAAACCAUUUUCUUGUGAGGAAUGUGGGAAAAGUUUCUAUGUAAAAAGCUCCCUUACCAGUCAUCAGGCGACUCACACAGGGGAGAAACCUUUUACUUGUACAGAAUGUGGCAAAAGCUUCUCUGCAAAGUCCAUCCUUUCUUCUCACUUAAUUGUUCACACAGGAGAGAAACCUUUCAUGUGUUCGGAAUGUGGAAAACAAUUCUCUCGUAAGACAAACCUUGACAGACACCUACAACACGUACACACAGAGAGAAUAUUUACAUGUACUGUAUGUGGGAAAACCUUUCCCAGUGUGAGAAACCUUCUCUACCCCUGCACAACUCACACUGGGGAGAAACCAUUCAUAUGCACAGAUUGUAAGAAUAUGACCCCCGUUAUUUCCUUUUCUUGCACAGAAUGUGGCAAACAGUUCCUUAAAAAGGAAUACCUUGGGAAACACCAGGCAAUUCACGCAAGAAGGAAAGAUUUCCCAUGUGCAGAAUGCGGUGAAAGAUUCUCUUCAAAGAGCCACCUUCAGCGGCAUUAUGCGAUUCACUUGGAGGAGAAGCCUUUCCCAUGCACAGAAUGCGGCAAAUGUUUCUCUACAAACGAUAGCCUUAGCAUACACCAGAAAAUUCACAUAAAAAGGGAAACUUUCCCAUGUACACAAUGUGGAAAAUGUUUCCUUGAAAAGGAAUACCUGACCAAACACCAGGAAAUUCACCCAAGGGAAACUUUCUCUUGUACAGAAUGUGGCAAAAAUUUCUCUUCAAAGUAUUACCUUCAGCGGCAUUACAUGAUUCACUCAGGGGAGAAACCUUUCACGUGCGCAGAAUGCGGCAAAUGUUUCCUUGUAAAGGAGUACCUUAGGAAACACCAGGAAAUUCACUCAGGAGAGAAACCUUUCCCAUGUACAGAAUGUGGCAAAGCCUUCUCUGUAAAGGAAUACCUACGGAAACACAAGAAAACUCACAUAAAAAGGGAAUAGUUCCCAUGUACGGAAUAUGGCAAAGCCUUCUCUGCAAAGGAAUACCUACGGAAACACAAGAAAAUUCACAUAUAAAGGGAAUAGUUCCCAUGUACGGAAUAUGGCAAAGGUUUCUCUGUAAAGGAAUAUCUUCAGAAACACCAGAAAAUUCACAUAAAAAGGGAAUAGUUCCCAUGUACGGAAUAUGGCAAAGGCUUCUCUGCAAAGGAAUACCUACGGAAACACAAGAAAACUCACAUAAAAAGGGAAUAGUUCCCAUGUACGGAAUAUGGCAAAGGCUUCUCUGCAAAGGAAUACCUACGGAAACACCAGAAAAUUCACAUAAAAAGGGAAACUUUCCCAUGUACACAAUGUGGAAAAUGUUUCCUUGAAAAGGAAUACCUGACCGAACACCUGGAAAUUCAUCCAAGGGAAACUUUCUCUUGUACAGAAUGUGGCAAAAAUUUCUCUUCAAAGAGUUACCUUCAGCGGCAUUACAUGAUUCACUCAGGGGAGAAACCUUUCACGUGCGCAGAAUGCGGCAAAUGUUUCCUUGUAAAGGAGUACCUUAGGAAACACCAGGAAAUUCACUCAGGAGAGAAACCUUUCCCAUGUACAGAAUGUGGCAAAGCCUUCUCUGUAAAGGAAUAUCUUCGGAAACACAAGAAAACUCACAUAAAAAGGGAAUAGUUCCCAUGUACAGAAUAUGGCAAAGGCUUCUCUGUAAAGGAAUACCUACGGAAACACCAGAAAAUUCACAUAAAAAGGGAAUAGUUCCCAUGUACGGAAUGUGGCAAAGGCUUCUCUGUAAAGGAAUACCUACGGAAACACCAGAAAAUUCACAUAAAAAGGGAAUAGUUCCCAUGUACGGAAUGUGGCAAAGGCUUCUCUGUAAAGAAAUACCUUCAGAAACACCAGAAAAUUCACAUAAAAAGGGAAUAGUUCCCAUGUACGGAAUGUGGCAAAGGCUUCUCUGUAAAGGAAUACCUUCGGAAACACCAGAAAAUUCACAUAAAAAGGGAAACUUUCCCAUGUACACAAUGUGGCAAAUGUUUCCUUGAAAAGUAAUACCUGACCGAACACCUGGAAAUUCAUCCAAGGGAAACUUUCUCUUGUACAGAAUGUGGCAAAAAUUUCUCUUCAAAGUAUUACCUUCAGCGGCAUUACAUGAUUCACUCAGGGGAGAAAUCUUUCACGUGCACAGAAUGUGGCAAAUGUUUCCUUGUAAAGGAGUACCUUAGGAAACACCAGGAAAUUCACUCAGGAGAGAAACCUUUCCCAUGUACAGAAUGUGGCAAAGGCUUCUCUGUAAAGGAAUACCUUCGGAAACACCAGAAAAUUCACAUAAAAACGGAAUAGUUCCCAUGUACGGAAUGUGGCAAAGGCUUCUCUGUAAAGGAAUACCUACGGAAACACCAGAAAAUUCACAUAAAAAGGGAAUAGUUCCCAUGUACAGAAUGUGGCAAAUCUUUCUCUAACAAGGGCAUCCUUCAAUGGAAUCAGAUAAUCCACACGAGGAGAACAUCUUCCCAUGCCCAAAAGUGAACACAUUCUCUCGUAACAGCUCCCUUUGCCUAAACCAGAUGAUCCAAAAACUUUCACUUGCGUAGAAUGAGGCAUAAGUUGUUUUUUUUUGUAUAUUCUUUAUUUUCAGUUUUAUAUGCGUACAGUACAUAUCAGAACCAGACAGCUUUAUACAGUAGGCAUAAUGAACGCUUCAUGUAUCGGGUAUACUUAUAGAUUUUUUGCAGCCAUGCAAAAUGCAAUGAUAGUUUUCGUAACAUUCUGCUCUGACAAAGUUGUCUAAGAUAGCUUUGAUAUUUAUUAUGCUUAGUUAAGCUGUAGCGGUGGUGUCUCCUAUUGCUGCCCUUAUUGCAAUGUUAUUGUCUGAUAUAGUACUGAGGGAGAAGAACAUGGUGAGAAAAGGAGAGGGGGGAAAGUAACAAGGAAGAACAAAAAAGGUAAAAGUAAUUCUUUAAACCAGGAUAGAAAAGGGAAAAAGAGAGUAUCCAUAAUGGGGAAGCAGAACUUGGAGGUGCCCAGUCGCUCAGUCGCUCUGUUAUUAACUACCUGUCAUCUUCAACAAGUAACAUUUGACCUUUUUGUGUAUAUCUGCUUUCUAGUAGUGCCCCUAGUCCGGUGUCAUUCAUUCAUCUCUAUAUGAUUCUAAAAACAUAACCCAUGGGGACCAUGUCAGGACAAACUUGUCUGGUGUCCCUUGGACGUUGCUAAGUAGUUCCUCCAUUCGCAUAACAUUUCCCAUCUCUUUAACCCAUUCACUUAUAGUAGGGGGGGUAAUGGAUUUCCAGUGGCGUGGUAUCACUGUCCUGGCUGCCCCCAGGCAGAAACCUAACAGAGACCUUUUAUAUUUAAAGACUGAGCCUGGGAGGAUUGAGAGGAUACCUAUCAAGGGAUCUGGUUUUAGAUCUAGACCUGUGCAGGAGUUAAUAACCUUGAAUAUUUGUUCCCAGAAUGGGAUCAGUGGCAUUUCCACCAGAUGUGCAAAGGGGUCCCUAUCUCAGUUCCACAUCUCCAGCACUGCUCCGUGACCGUGGGGUAAAUUUUAUGUAAGAUUUCGGGGCAUUUAUACCACCUUGAGAUUAUUUUAUAAUUUGUCUCUUUGCAAGCUAUAGAAAAUUUGUGCGUAAGAUAAAAGCAAUUUCCCCAUUGAUCUCCUGUAAGUUGCAUCUGCAGCUCCCUCUCCCACUUCUUAGUAAAUUUGGGUAACAUAAUGGUUUUAUUGGUGGUGAGUAACUGAUAUAAGGCAUAAGUUUUUUAAUAGAAGGGAAGCAUUUCCCCUUGAGAAGAUGCCAUGGGAAUCAUGGGCAGGUUUAUUUGCAAAAUGGAGCAUGAUUGGGGUAACUCAGGGGCGUUGCCAUGGGCACACAGGUACUAUUUGUUGGCCAAGCCCUCUGCCCAGGGAGCCAAGUGACAAAUGGGAUAAUAACUGGGGCCUCCUAGGAUAAGGGCCACUGGGGGUGUAUAAGUCUUAACCAAAAAUAGUUUUUCCACUUCCCUAGAAUGCAAUGGAAAACACCAACCAGUGGUAAUGGAAGUUGCUAUUAUUUAAAGGGGUUCUCUCAUCCCAUAAUAUCCCCUUUUUAGUGACCAUUUUUUGCAAACUUCACUUUUUUUCAAAUGCAAAUGAUACAAAUGUUAUAAAAUGACAGAGUGUAAAACUACUGAGCUGUUUCUUCACUUUUCUCUCUUUCACUUUAUUGUUUCAGCAACCGAGGGGUUAAGGGCAGAAGGUUCCUGGCACACAGAGGGUUUUUUUCAUUCUUUUCCCAUAGUAUGGGGCAUAUAGAGCCUUAUUUUUCAUC
Molecule: RNA transcript, 5782 nt
Organism: Xenopus tropicalis (tropical clawed frog)
Lineage: Eukaryota; Metazoa; Chordata; Amphibia; Anura; Pipidae
Gene: znf519
Gene name: zinc finger protein 519
Exons: 3
Source: RefSeq, marked provisional